GAUGAACGCUGGCGGCGUGCUUAACACAUGCAAGUCGAACGGAAAGGCUCCUGCUUGCAGGGGUACUCGAGUGGCGAACGGGUGAGUAACACGUGGGUGAUCUGCCCUGCACUUCGGGAUAAGCCUGGGAAACUGGGUCUAAUACCGGAUAGGACCACAUUUUGGAUGGUGUGGUGGAAAGUUUUUCGGUGUGGGAUGAGCUCGCGGCCUGUCAGCUUGUUGGUGGGGUAAUGGCCUACCAAGGCGUCGACGGGUAGCCGGCCUGAGAGGGUGUACGGCCACAUUGGGACUGAGAUACGGCCCAGACUCCUACGGGAGGCAGCAGUGGGGAAUAUUGCACAAUGGGCGCAAGCCUGAUGCAGCGACGCCGCGUGGGGGAUGACGGCCUUCGGGUUGUAAACUCCUUUCGCUAGGGACGAAGCGCAAGUGACGGUACCUGGAGAAGAAGCACCGGCUAACUACGUG
This 465-nucleotide ribosomal RNA is filed under the name uncultured bacterium. Its description in RNAcentral is "partial 16S ribosomal RNA". It matches the Rfam family "Bacterial small subunit ribosomal RNA", at positions 28 to 507 of the family's 1533-position model. The record is from RNAcentral.